UACGGAGGGUGCAAACGUUGCUCGGAAUCAUUGGGCGUAAAGCGCACGUAGGCUGCUCGACAAGUUGGAUGUGAAAGCCCUUGGCUCAACCGAGGAAGUACAUCCAAAACUGGCGGGCUUGAAUCUCGGAGGGGGCCAGAGAAUUCCCGGUGUAGAGGUGAAAUUCGUAGAUAUCGUAAGGAAGACCAGUGGCGAAGGCGGGUCUCUGGACAGUUCCUGACGCUGAGGCACGAAGGUCAGGGGAGCAAACGGG
Molecule: ribosomal RNA, 253 nt
Filed under: uncultured bacterium
Lineage: Bacteria
Description: partial 16S ribosomal RNA
Rfam family: Bacterial small subunit ribosomal RNA
Source: RNAcentral